RNAcentral lists this ribosomal RNA (137 nucleotides) under uncultured eukaryote. RNAcentral describes it as "partial 18S ribosomal RNA". It matches the Rfam family "Eukaryotic small subunit ribosomal RNA", at positions 1299 to 1458 of the family's 1831-position model. The record is from RNAcentral.
UGGUGGAGUGAUUUGUCUGCUUAAUUGCGAUAACUAACGAGACCUUAACCUGCUAAAUAGCCCGUAUUGCUUUGGCAGUACGCCGGCUUCUUAGAGGGACUAUCGGCUCAAGCCGAUGGAAGUUUGAGGCAAUAACA